GGGAAGGUACUCAAGAGGUUCAAGAGGCUCCCCUGCUAAGGGAGUAGAUCGUUGAUAGCGGUGCGUGGGUUCGAAUCCCACCCUUCCCGCCA
This 92-nucleotide transfer RNA is filed under the name Caudoviricetes sp. Its description in RNAcentral is "tRNA-Ser". It matches the Rfam family "tRNA". Rfam says of the family: Transfer RNA (tRNA) molecules are approximately 80 nucleotides in length. Their secondary structure includes four short double-helical elements and three loops (D, anti-codon, and T loops). Lineage: Duplodnaviria; Heunggongvirae; Uroviricota; Caudoviricetes. The record is from RNAcentral.